Cicer arietinum (chickpea) is the source of this 2461-nucleotide non-coding RNA. Lineage: Eukaryota; Viridiplantae; Streptophyta; Magnoliopsida; Fabales; Fabaceae. The record is from RefSeq and is a predicted model, not a curated record.
UAUUUUGUUAGUUAGUGCUGAUUUUUGUUUGUUAGUUUUGAUUUGGAAUUCUGUUAGUUAGUUUGAAUCGUCGCUCCUCUGUUAGUUAGUUUUGAUACUUCGUCGCUCCUCUGACUCUGUUAGUUUUUAUUUCAAUUUUUCUUAGUUCGUCGCUCCUGUGUCAGUUUUGAGUUCUUCCUAUUGUUGAGUUUUACCUAUCCUAAGAAUUUAACUUAUAUGUCAGUACCCGAUAUUUUUGUGGAAUUCUACUUUUUGCUUAUGUUGUUCAGUUAGCUUAAAGCUUAUUUUGUUAGUGUUGAGUUUGGAGCUUUAAUUUGGAGUUUGAAUUAGACGUUAGUGCUGAUUUUUGUUUAAAGUUUUUGUGUUGCACAUAAGGUUUUUGAUUUUAUGUCGAUAUAAAGUGUUUUGAGUUUUUUUGUUGCACAUAAGGUGUUUGAGUUUUUUUAUUGCACAUAAGGUGUUUGAGUUUUUUUUGCAUUUUUGUUUGAGUUUUUGUGUUGCAUUUUUAUGUCGGUCACCCGAAGCUUCUUAGUCAAGUCCGCCACUGCGAACAAUGAUAUCAAAUUUAAAUUUUCCUUCAUUUUUAUCCGAGAAUUUAGGGUUGUGUGUUUUGUGCAUUCUUAAUGGUUGCAUGUCAAAUUUUCUCCUUUUCUUCACCACUACAAUAUACCUUUUCAUGCGAUGAGUAAUAAUUGGGAUGAGAGAAAAAUGAAAGAUUGCUUUAUUGUUUAUUCUUAAAAUUCGCAUACAUAUAAGUGAUAAAGCAAAUUAUUAAAUUUCUAUCAACGAAGGAACAGCCAAAAUUUUAGUAUGCCACCGGAGCUAAUCAUUUCACAACCUUUAAAUGGUAACAACAAGAGCUUAUUUGGUUUCCGUGCAUCAUAAGUAACUUUGAAAACAAAACAUGACAAACUCGAAUAAUAUAUAUUAAAAUUUCCCGUCAAUUGCUUUUAGAUCAUAACAGCAAAUGGGUUCAACAAAUGUUUGCCUCCUUCUGCAUUUUAGUUUGCUUAUGAAUUUGAUCUGUGGCAAAUAUUCUGGUGGAUAAUUGAUGCAUUUUAAUGAGUUGGAGGAUAUGACCAAUCAUGAUAUUGCUUCACAAAAGAGAGAAAAUAAAACUGGUAAGGCAGUAAUGCAGAAAUACUAAAUAUUAGAAUGUAAGGAGCACUUAUAAAAAAAAAUCAAAAUCGGCAGUGAGCUCUAUAAGCAAUCAAAAUUUUAACAUUAAAUUAUAAAUUAUAAAUGUCCCUAUUCCACAACCAUCAACCACUUAUCAAACAAUGAGUUAGACAAUCAAAUUAUCUGCACCGAGCACUAUGAAAACUAGAGAUAAUUUGAUCUUUGUUGACCGCCUUAAUUCAAACCUUCCAUCUCAGAUACGGAUCUUUGGUUAUAAGCGGGUGACAGCUUCUUUUAGUGCCAAGAAGUUCUGUGACAGGAGGAGGUAUGUCUAUCUCAUCCCUGUGUUUGCUCUUGAUCCAUGCUGUCAUCGUGAUAGAGAGACUGUACUGGCUAGUUUGGGGUCUGAAAAUGAGCUUGUUAAGUGUUUGGAGUGUUCUGAGAGAGGCCGAAAGGUGGAAGGUUUGGUUGGUAAUAGUAAGCGCAAUCUGGAGCUAGAAGCUAUGGAUGUUGAGACCACAGACAAAGGUGAUGAUAAUCGUUCAAAUAAAGAAUCCAUUAAUGACAACGAGGGUAAGGUUUCAGUUGAAGAUGUAAACUCUAAAACUAGUUUCGAGACUGUGGUUUCUGGUCAGGAUGAGGUUUCUCCUUUAAAUGGUGGAUCUGAGAAUAAUUCAGCUGUUCUCGAGGAAGAAAAAGUGAACGGAGAGGAUACACCUGCUAAACGAAGUGAGUUUUGUUAUGGUGAGAAGGAGAGGGAGAGAUUUAACAAGAUUUUGAAGAGUUAUGUGGGAACUCAUAACUUCCAUAACUUCACGACCAGAAUAAAACCCGAGGAUCCUUCUGCUAAACGUUUCAUUAUUUCAUUUGACGCAAGCAACACUGUUGGGUAGUUUUUUUUUUGUUCAACUAUCUUGGGCAGAGGCUUUUUUUGGGUAAAUUAUUUGGGAAAAGGCUUAUACAAAUACAAAAGCGAAAUGUCCGAAACCCGUAUCCGUUGAAUUCGGGGGCCCAAAAGAAAACACCCACUUCGUUCUUUCUCGAAUGGAGUUUCUUUUGUUUCAGUUAUGAUUGAAAAAACGAGGGUUUAAGGUUGUUCGCCUCUUUCAUUUGGUUGUAACCAUUGUCUCACGUUUCUGCAUUCUCUUGCUUCUGAUAUUGGCAGCAGUUUUCACUUGUUAAACUUGAUGUCUGUAAGAAAACCCCCAUUGCCUCGUCUCCUCCUUAACAAUGUCUCUUGUAUGAGAAAUGCCCAGCAAGUUCUGUCUAAUGUGAAUCUCUCUCUUCAUGAUGGAGGAGCACUUGUGCUAACAGGUGCAAAUGGCUCAGGAAAGUCAACUUU